This 276-nucleotide ribosomal RNA is filed under the name Olea europaea subsp. europaea. Its description in RNAcentral is "LSU_rRNA_bacteria". The record is from RNAcentral. Lineage: Eukaryota; Viridiplantae; Streptophyta; Magnoliopsida; Lamiales; Oleaceae.
GGAUUCCUCCGCAAGGUUUGUCCACGGAAGGUAAGUUAGGUCCUAAGUUCAUGCUAGAAGCUCAAUCGAUGGACAAGAAGUGAAUAUUUUUGUAUAAUCUUGUGUUGGUUUCAUGGGAUAGAGUAGGCUAAGUUAGCCAAAAGCAGGUUAUCUUUUUAGGAAUAUUAGGCCCCACUGGUUUGGGGAUUUUUUUUUUUAAAUUUUUUUACAAGGUUUAAUAAUGCACGAUUUUUUUUAGUACUCCGAUAUUUUAACAAUUAAGUGUACUCUUGUUCC